AUUAAACGCUGGCGGCAUGCCUUACACAUGCAAGUCGAACGGCAGCACGGGGGCAACCCUGGUGGCGAGUGGCGGACGGGUGAGUAAAGCAUCGGAACGUAUCCUGGAGUGGGGGGAUAACGUAGCGAAAGUUACGCUAAUACCGCAUAUUCUGUGAGCAGGAAAGCAGGGGAUCGCAAGACCUUGCGCUCUGGGAGCGGCCGAUGUCGGAUUAGCUAGUUGGUGGGGUAAAGGCCUACCAAGGCGACGAUCCGUAGCGGGUCUGAGAGGAUGAUCCGCCACACUGGGACUGAGACACGGCCCAGACUCCUACGGGAGGCAGCAGUGGGGAAUUUUGGACAAUGGGCGGAAGCCUGAUCCAGCCAUGCCGCGUGAGUGAAGAAGGCCUCGGGUUG
Molecule: ribosomal RNA, 395 nt
Filed under: uncultured bacterium
Lineage: Bacteria
Description: bacterial SSU rRNA
Rfam family: Bacterial small subunit ribosomal RNA
Source: RNAcentral